CAGGUCACUCCUACGGGAGGCAGCAGUGGGGAAUUUUGCGCAAUGGGGGAAACCCUGACGCAGCAAUGCCGCGUGGAGGAUGAAGUCCUUUGGGAUGUAAACUCCUUUCGAUCGGGAAGAUUAUGACGGUACCGGAAGAAGAAGCCCCGGCUAACUCUGUGCCAGCAGCCGCGGUAAUACAGAGGGUGCAAGCGUUGUUCGGAAUUAUUGGGCGUAAAGGGCGCGUAGGCGGUGCGGUAAGUCACUUGUGAAAUCUCUGGGCUCAACUCAGAGUCUGCUGUAGAAACUGCCGUGCUUGAGUGUGGGAGAGGUGAGUGGAAUUCCCGGUGUAGCGGUGAAAUGCGUAGAGAUCGGGAGGAACACCAGUGGCGAAGGCGACACGCUGGGCCGUACCUGACACUGAUGCGCGACAGCAUGGGGAGCAAACAGGAUUAGAUACCCUGGUAGUCCACGCCGUAAACGAUGGGCACUAGGUGCUUGGGGGAGCGACCCUCUGAGUGCCGGCGCUAACGCAUUAAGUGCCCCGCCUGGGGAGUACGGCCGCAAGGCUGAAACUUAAAGGAAUUGACG
RNAcentral lists this ribosomal RNA (570 nucleotides) under uncultured Candidatus Korobacter sp. RNAcentral's name for it is "bacterial SSU rRNA". It matches the Rfam family "Bacterial small subunit ribosomal RNA", at positions 329 to 915 of the family's 1533-position model. Lineage: Bacteria; Pseudomonadati; Acidobacteriota; Terriglobia; Terriglobales; Candidatus Korobacteraceae. The record is from RNAcentral.